UAGCAAAGACCGUGGUUUUAUUAUAACCGAACAAUGAUUUCUAAUGUAACUAUAAAUUUCAUCGUAACAUCAUAAUCUUUAUUAACCACUUUAAUCACCAUAUUUCAUUAAUCUUCUUGUGAUUUUCAAUGUAACAGUGUUUUUCAAGGUAAAAUGACAAUCCGAACAAUGGAAAACGGUAAACUUUAGCUCUUUUUAAAUUUUUAUAUUUUUUCGUGUAGAGGAAAAUUUGGGCGCCAUGUUUUGCAUUUCUUGCGGUCGGAACCGGGUUAUUCCGGACAAUUUAUGAUUUACUGGAAAUAAAGGUGAAAGAUUGGGAUCGGAAAGCGGCGGCACGGAUUAUGGUGAUAGCGAUGCAGAUGGAGAGAGCAGAGUGUCGCAGAGGUAGUUUCAGCAGCUUCAGCCGUGGGCGCAUGCAAUUGCACAACCCGUGCGAAUAUAUUCGCACAUCCUGUGGUUAGAAUGUGCGCCAGGUCCGUCUCCCGAUAAUGGUUGCGCAGGAUGUAGCCAGCCGGUGCAGGUGAUGAAAAAACAAUCAAAUUAGUGCCAAUUAAGUGUGAAAUUUUACACCAAGUUUCAUAGUGAAUUUUUUUUUCUAAAAAACCCGUAUUUACAACCGGAAUGUGUGAAUCAAGUGUUGAUAAUAAAUGAUAAAUGAAAUAAA
This is a long non-coding RNA of Uranotaenia lowii, 664 nucleotides long. RefSeq lists it as uncharacterized. The transcript has 2 exons. Lineage: Eukaryota; Metazoa; Arthropoda; Insecta; Diptera; Culicidae. The record is from RefSeq and is a predicted model, not a curated record.